This 224-nucleotide ribosomal RNA is filed under the name uncultured bacterium. Its description in RNAcentral is "partial 16S ribosomal RNA". It matches the Rfam family "Bacterial small subunit ribosomal RNA", at positions 118 to 345 of the family's 1533-position model. The record is from RNAcentral.
UGAGCAAUCUGCCCUUCACAUCGGAAUAACCAUUGGAGACGAUGGCUAAUACCGAAUAUGACUUCGGAUCGCAUGAUCUGAAGUGGAAAGCUCCGGCGGUGAAGGAUGAGCUCGCGGCCUAUCAGCUUGUUGGUGGGGUAAUGGCCCACAAGGCUUCGACGGGUAGCCGGCCUGAGAGGGUGACCGGCCACACUGGGACUGAGACACGGCCAGAUCCGUACGGG